Molecule: long non-coding RNA, 1578 nt
Organism: Anastrepha ludens (Mexican fruit fly)
Lineage: Eukaryota; Metazoa; Arthropoda; Insecta; Diptera; Tephritidae
Exons: 3
Source: RefSeq, a predicted model, not a curated record
GGCAACAGCGACGGUUCGGUAUCGCAGAAAACGACGAAAAAUAAAGUAAAAUUCAAAGUAGAAAAACUUGGCGAAGGUGCAACGAAAACGGUGAAACAAGUUUUUUUCUGUUUCUAUUCCUCCAACAUCACAACUUGACUUAUUGGAAUAUAUGCAUGAGUAUACGUGUAAAUAAUAUUUGCAAAAAAAAACAACAACAAUACGAGAAAAACAUAUUCUAUAAAACGCGAAAAAGUUGUAUAAAAUCAAGUAUUUUAUGAAAAGUGACUGGAAAUUAUCAUAUUUUCUGCAAAUCAAAUUGGUCCCGGAAGUUUUUUGCUUUUUUCAAUCCCCUAAAAUAAAAAACAAUAAAACAAUAAAAAAACAUUCGAUGAAAUCAUAUCUUGUGCGGCUGCCAAAUAAAAAGGUGCGCACUAAGAAACCAGUAAAAAUUGUACUGACAAAAAAUUAAUAUACUUUUACAUACAAAGUUUACUUACAAUUAACUGUCAAUUAAGUGACGCUGUGCGUGCGCGACUCUGUUAUUGUUAUUACAUUUGUGUCUGCGUACUUGAACGGGGCACUGGGCGAAAUAAGCCAAGACAACCAGUUAAAGCAACCACGCAUUUUGGCGCAAACAACAUUCGCUAAAAAAAGGUAAUUUGACACAUCUGUAUAUACAACCGAAAAUAUAUUUAUAUUUUAUGAGUAAGUAUGUAUCAACAAACCGUUAAGAACUCUUCAUUAUUAUUAAACAUUCUUUUUUAUUAAAUGGUAACCAUUGUCAUAUGGCAAGUCUUGGUUUUUAAGUUUUCUUUAACAAUCAAGGGGUUUUCAUCGCUCUAUUCCCAUAUGGUCCCUUUCGAAUUUGCCGAAACAAUUUUCCAUUGCCUGUUUGUUAACAGGUACUUCGCUUAUGAACAUCUGUAGAAAAGUGCAGAAAACUCUGGAUAUGACUGACACUUGAUGCUGUGCGAACGGGCUAUCGGUAAACCCGACCAAGUCUGGUAUUGUCUUCUUUACCAGAAGGAGGAAGCUUGAUGGACUCGUUCUGCCUAAGCCAAAAGUAGUCACAAUCCAGCUAUCCAAUGAAAUAAAAUAUCUUGGAGUAAUCUUAGAUAGUAAACUUCUUUGGAAGUCACACGUUGAAACAAAGACAUCCAAAGCACUGACAGCCGUCUGACAGCGCAAAGGUCUUUGGGAGAACGUGGCAAAAUCCUAUGGAUCUACACAGCUAUAAUAAGACCUUUAUCAGUGGUCUGGAUGAGUAUACUCUCUUUCGUGGGAGUCAGGAGGACCUUCUGGAGAUUAUAACGCACUGUGACCAUCUGUUGCACUGGAGCUUUUCCGACUACUCCAGGCCAGGCAUUAGAUGCUCUGGUUAGUCAACUACCACUUGAUAUUUUCAUCCAAGGAGAGGCCUUGUAGGCCAUCUGGAGGCUGAAAUACAAUGGGAAUUGGACAACAUUAGACAACAGAGUAGGCAUAGACUUCGAUCAAAUGAUCCUCUCCAUGUCCCUUGACUCCAUACCAUUUAGAGUUGUGUUUGAAAAGAGAUACAGUGUGGGGCUACCAGAGGCUGAAUUGUGGUCGAACUCU